ACUAAGCAUAUCAAUAAGCGGAGGAAAAGAAACCAACAGGGAUUGCCCUAGUAACGGCGAGUGAAGCGGCAACAGCUCAAAUUUGAAAUCUGGCUCUUUCAGAGUCCGAGUUGUAAUUUGCAGAGGGCGCUUUGGCUUUGGCAGCGGUCCAAGUUCCUUGGAACAGGACGUCACAGAGGGUGAGAAUCCCGUACGUGGUCGCUAGCUAUUGCCGUGUAAAGCCCCUUCGACGAGUCGAGUUGUUUGGGAAUGCAGCUCUAAAUGGGAGGUAAAUUUCUUCUAAAGCUAAAUAUUGGCCAGAGACCGAUAGCGCACAAGUAGAGUGAUCGAAAGAUGAAAAGCACUUUGGAAAGAGAGUCAAACAGCACGUGAAAUUGUUGAAAGGGAAGCGCUUGCAGCCAGACUUGCUUGCAGUUGCUCAUCCGGGCUUUUGCCCGGUGCACUCUUCUGUAGGCAGGCCAGCAUCAGUUUGGGCGGUGGGAUAAAGGUCUCUGUCACGUACCUCUCUUCGGGGAGGCCUUAUAGGGGAGACGACAUACCACCAGCCUAGACUGAGGUCCGCGCAUCUGCUAGGAUGCUGGCGUAAUGGCUGUAAGCGGCCCGUCUUGAAACACGGACCAAGGAGUCUAACAUCUAUGCGAGUGUUUGGGUGUCAAGCCCGAGCGCGUAAUGAAAGUGAACGGAGGUGGGAACCCGCAAGGGUGCACCAUCGACCGAUCCUGAAGUUUACGGAAGGAUUUGAGUAAGAGCAUGGCUGUUGGGACCCGAAAGAUGGUGAACUAUGCUUGAAUAGGGUGAAGCCAGAGGAAACUCUGGUGGAGGCUCGCAGCGGUUCUGACGUGCAAAUCGAUCGUCAAAUUUGGGCAUAGGGGCGAAAGACUAAUCGAACUAUCUAGUAGCUGGUUCCUGCCGAAGUUCCCCUCAGGAAAAA
This 931-nucleotide ribosomal RNA is filed under the name Bipolaris maydis (southern corn leaf blight pathogen). RNAcentral describes it as "partial large subunit ribosomal RNA". It matches the Rfam family "Eukaryotic large subunit ribosomal RNA", at positions 33 to 982 of the family's 3401-position model. Lineage: Eukaryota; Fungi; Ascomycota; Dothideomycetes; Pleosporales; Pleosporaceae. The record is from RNAcentral.